GUCAAAUGAAGGGAUGCCAUCUAAAUGAUAAAAGAGGAUCUAGAUUCUGUAGCUUACACCUCUCCAGCAUUUCUUAGCUCUAAUCAUUGCUAUCACCAGCCUCCGAGAUACAUCAGUCAGAAAGCCAUUGCCAGGAAACUGCAGGCUCAGCUUAUCCUCCAGGUCCCAGGAUGCAGGUGAGAGUCUCAGGCAGCAGACUGUUCUGGAUCCUACUGAGCUCAGCCUGGGUUAUUUCACUCCAGAGCCCUCAUGGCCCAGGAGAAAAGCCAACCUACAUAGGCCGAUGGAGACGCAUGCCAGGUACUUGAUUAUUCUGUGUCUCUCUGAGCUGUGUUAUUUCUCACACGGUCACCAGCUAGACUAAACACUUAUUCAAGAUACC
RNAcentral lists this long non-coding RNA (382 nucleotides) under Fukomys damarensis (Damara mole-rat). RNAcentral describes it as "lncRNA (ENSFDAG00000026930.1)". The record is from RNAcentral. Lineage: Eukaryota; Metazoa; Chordata; Mammalia; Rodentia; Bathyergidae.